UUCCGGUUUGUGUUUGGUGGCUAACACAUGUGGAGUUUGUUUCUAUUUUGCUUUUAAGCUAUAGAAAGGUUUUUUCGGUGUGCUCUGUGUGUAUUUGUGCUGUUUGUGAGCGUCUUGUUCGUAUUGUGUUUGUCUAAGUGUCACAUAGAAGGCACCGGAAUCCUGCCGAAAAACCACUAGUAUUCCAGACAAUUAUAUUUCACAGUGCCCAUGUGUGGUCAUUACACGACACUGGCAGAAAUUGCUAAAACA
This is a long non-coding RNA of Trichoplusia ni (cabbage looper), 252 nucleotides long. RefSeq lists it as uncharacterized. Lineage: Eukaryota; Metazoa; Arthropoda; Insecta; Lepidoptera; Noctuidae. The record is from RefSeq and is a predicted model, not a curated record. The transcript has 2 exons.